RNAcentral lists this ribosomal RNA (232 nucleotides) under uncultured Gardnerella sp. RNAcentral's name for it is "partial 16S ribosomal RNA". It matches the Rfam family "Bacterial small subunit ribosomal RNA", at positions 128 to 354 of the family's 1533-position model. The record is from RNAcentral. Lineage: Bacteria; Bacillati; Actinomycetota; Actinomycetes; Bifidobacteriales; Bifidobacteriaceae.
GCCCCACUGCUCCACGAAUAAGCUCUUGGAAACUAGGGUGGUAAUGCUGGAUGCUCCAACUUGACGCAUGUCUUGUUGGGAAAGUGUUUAGUGGCAUGGGAUGGGGUCGCGUCCUAUCAGCUUGUAGGCGGGGUAAUGGCCCACCUAGGCUUCGACGGGUAGCCGGCCUGAGAGGGCGGACGGCCACAUUGGGACUGAGAUACGGCCCAGACUCCUACGGGAGGCAGCAGAC